RNAcentral lists this unclassified non-coding RNA (218 nucleotides) under Hevea brasiliensis (rubber tree). The record is from RNAcentral. Lineage: Eukaryota; Viridiplantae; Streptophyta; Magnoliopsida; Malpighiales; Euphorbiaceae.
GUUUUACCCUUCUUCAAAAACAUCCACUCUCGAAUCAUCCCCCGAUUCCAGCCACUCUCUAUAUUUAACAGCCACGUGAUAAUUUUUGUCAAUCAAAACCAAACAGCACACCUGAACUCAGCGCGUGGUCUACAAAACCCCAAACAUCGAAUUAGCAAUAAACGCCCUUCUUUGUAAGUUUGCAAUUGAGAAAAAAUAAACAAAACAGACCUAAUUGA